Molecule: ribosomal RNA, 252 nt
Filed under: uncultured bacterium
Lineage: Bacteria
Description: partial 16S ribosomal RNA
Rfam family: Bacterial small subunit ribosomal RNA
Source: RNAcentral
UACGUAGGUCCCGAGCGUUGUCCGGAUUUAUUGGGCGUAAAGCGAGCGCAGGUGGUUUAUUAAGUCCGGUGUAAAAGGCAGUGGCUCAACCAUUGUAUGCAUUGGAAACUGGUAGACUUGAGUGCAGGAGAGGAGAGUGGAAUUCCAUGUGUAGCGGUGAAAUGCAUAGAUAUCACGCAGAACUCCGAUUGCGAAGGCAGCGUACCGGCAUCCAACUGACGCUGAGGCACGAAAGCGUGGGGAUCAAACAGG